AAAUGGACAACGUCGUCAACCAGAGGUAGAAAGAUCUCCAGAGCAACGCAGGAGCUUUACAAGCAUGGAAACUACCUGAGAACAUCGCUUACAAAAGAUUUAAACAGCAUUUUCAGCAAUCUCCUAGUUUCCUGUGUGUUCAUCCCACAAUUAUUGCAGAAGCUUUGGGAAUCUCGUCUGGUAGCCGGCUCUGUAGACACACACCACCUGCUUUUGCACCACGGAAUCAGCUACCGCCGCCGCCUCUGCUCCAGCAAGCAGCCGUGGCUCAACCUGAGCCCAGGCUGCUACAAGCAGCACCUGCCUGUGCGCUGGCAACCUCAAGCCCCUGGGCCAUCAGCCCUGCCUGAGUUCAUCGCGAUAAGGGCAGGCGGGAUAGCUGGAGGCUGCAGAGAGCCCUGGAACCCGUCCCUGCUGCAAGCAAGCGCUUCCUGGAUGAUAGGCUGAGCACGAGAGCACAGGAAAACUCCUUCUAGGAAUGCCCACACCAUCACCCUGCCGGCUCUCUGGCAGAAGGGGUAUGCAGGGUAAGUUGGCCUGGAUAGUGCUGUGGGAGCUGCCUUACCCUGCAAUGCGCAGACAACCCCAGCAGCUCGUGAUCUCUGCCCGGCACAAUGACCAGCACAGAAGCUGUUGUCCAGUGACAGGGGGCUUGCUUGUUUGCCUGGGGAAGCACAGCAAGGCAGGCAAUGAGGUGUGAUACAUAAUUCAGUCACCUACUUAAGUCACCACCACGUGCAGGUCAUUAUUUCUUUCCCGAGUCUUCUCUACUGACGAUGUACAUUAUACAGAUCCUCUUCCGAUCAAGCAUGGCAAUUCCUACGUUCCUUUUAGCUCCUCUUCCUCAGGAUACAAGGGGACAAGAAAGCUCGUUGACCUCUCACCUAGGUUGCCUGCUAAAACCUUCUUUGCAGGAAUCCCAGAAUUACCAGCAUGAGCAUUAACGCAACAGAGCUCUUAAGAAAUGAGCAUACCACACCUAUGCACGUUACAGAAAAGGUAGAAGGCUGGAAAAUAAAGUUGAUUUGGAAAGAGAGAAGAAAAAAAAAAAGUUGUUUUCCUUGGCCAUGGAAGUUUUUCUUUUGCCACUACUUUCUCUGAAUGCAGGAGAACUGACUGGCUGGAAAUCACAUCAAGAAGUCACCAGCUGUAUCGCUGUGCAGCCUACACAUGCUGGUCUUUUUUCCCUGCUCUUCCUAAUCUGAAGAUGGCACAACCAGAAAAUCCAGCAGAUGAGUAGUCGGGCACAAUACAAGCAACUCUGUGGGCUGCAACCUUGAUACCUGAUCUUCUAAAGCUUUAUGUCUUAUCUUAAAGCUAUCUUAAAACAGGCUCUAUUUCUUCUACAUACGUACCUUGUAUGUUUUGGGAGCGUUUUUCUUUUGAGAAGAUCAAAAGGAUGCUUCUGGUAUCAGCCAUUGGUGUUGUAAUAUUUACCAGUUCACAAUGUUUUUUUCCCCAUGUUUAAAGGGCUAUUUUAAUUCUUUAGUUGCCACACGUGUUCAUACUGAAUGACCUCAAACCAAAAUAUUGUUACUGCCAAAGUCCAUUGAAAGAUUUAAAUCAACAAAAUUGAGGAAGCACGGCAGCAACAGCUCCUAUAGGUUGGGUGCUUUCACCUACCUGUAUUUGCUUUCCCUCUCUAAACACGUUGCUGCUGUAUUGAAGUUUCUUCUAAAGAUUAAUUAGCAAAGCAAUUAGCAUGUUUUAUCCAUUCUUUUUUCCUCCCCAUCCCCAGGGUACAUGCAUACGUUGGUCAGCUUAUGCUUCAAAAUUACACUUUUUGAUGCUACUUAUGAAGGUCAGAUUAAUUAAAUAUUGCUUUAUGCGCAACUGAAGUUUGGACUGGAGAGCACUGACGUUUAUGUUAGUGUUCAGUUUGCAGUCCUACAGUCAUUGAGAAAACAGUUUUAUAGUAAACAAUUCCCUUGUGGCAGGAAUGCAUUUCCUUGGCAAAUGAGGUCAUACAAGAUGAACACAAACCAAAUAACUCAGGAAGGGGAAAAUUCAGUAUCUGUUGUCAUUCUUUGAAAUCCCAAACCUCCUCCUAUGCAUAUCCAUUGUUGGAUUAUACACAGUUCAUAAGGUCUUCGCCUUUGUAUACAUUUCCCAGACAUAAAAUCAUGGCACUCUUACUCUCCUCACAACAAAAUGAGAGCAGACACUACCUGGAUUGUCAACCACAAGGUUGUAAAAGGGCCCCUUGAACAAAAGGAUAAAACUGUACAGACUUCUUCAUAAAAUCUACUGAGGGCAUUCCAUGUUAAACUAGAAGGGCUUUUCAAGUGUGUUUAGUAAUAUGUGAUCAUAACCGUGACUGGUCAGGACCAUAUCAUGUGUUUGAGGCUUUUAAAGGCCUUGAACGAAUAUGUUUAAUCUCCAUUUUACUAGAAAUUUACUGCAGAGGAUUGCUUUCAUCCAUGCCCUCGUCUCACAUUGAUGCAGAGAGUGAUAUUGUGCUGUAUUGUGAAAGAUGGAUUUAUCUCCACCUGCUUUGCUUUAUCUCCAUACUGCUGACAUUUGGGCUUUUAAAGUCUCGCCGUGUUCAGCAGUGGUUGUCUAUAAAUAGCGUCUAGUUAUUACCUUAUCGAUCUCUUGUUUUGUGUUUAAUCAACAUUAUAGUACAGAAGAUAGCACGCAUAGGUUGUCCUGUACGUAAAGAAGGAAACAAACGUAUU
RNAcentral lists this long non-coding RNA (2678 nucleotides) under Anas platyrhynchos (mallard). RNAcentral's name for it is "lncRNA (ENSAPLG00020000323.1)". Lineage: Eukaryota; Metazoa; Chordata; Aves; Anseriformes; Anatidae. The record is from RNAcentral.